This 373-nucleotide ribosomal RNA is filed under the name uncultured organism. Its description in RNAcentral is "bacterial SSU rRNA". It matches the Rfam family "Bacterial small subunit ribosomal RNA", at positions 526 to 896 of the family's 1533-position model. The record is from RNAcentral.
CGUAGGGGGCAAGCGUUGUCCGGAAUCAUUGGGCGUAAAGAGCGUGUAGGCGGUCCGGUAAGUCGGCUGUGAAAGUCCAGGGCUCAACCCUGGGAUGCCGGUCGAUACUGCCGGACUAGAGUUCGGAAGAGGCGAGUGGAAUUCCCGGUGUAGCGGUGAAAUGCGCAGAUAUCGGGAGGAACACCUAUGGCGAAGGCAGCUCGCUGGGACGUUACUGACGCUGAGACGCGAAAGCGUGGGGAGCAAACAGGAUUAGAUACCCCUGGUAGUCCACGCCGUAAACGAUGGGCACUAGGUGUGGGAGGUGUCGACUCCUCCCGUGCCGGAGCUAACGCAUUAAGUGCCCCGCCUGGGGAGUACGGCCGCAAGGCUA